RNAcentral lists this ribosomal RNA (374 nucleotides) under uncultured bacterium. Its description in RNAcentral is "bacterial SSU rRNA". It matches the Rfam family "Bacterial small subunit ribosomal RNA", at positions 29 to 394 of the family's 1533-position model. The record is from RNAcentral.
AUUGAACGCUGGCGGAAUGCUUUACACAUGCAAGUCGAGCGGCAGCACGGGGGCAACCCUGGUGGCGAGCGGCGAACGGGUGAGUAACACAUCGGAACGUACCCUGUCGUGGGGGAUAACGAGUCGAAAGAUUCGCUAAUACCGCAUACGACCCGGGGGUGAAAGCGGGGGAUCGCAAGACCUCGCGCGACUGGAGCGGCCGAUGGCGGAUUAGCUAGUUGGUGGGGUAAAGGCCCACCAAGGCGACGAUCCGUAGCGGGUCUGAGAGGACGGCCCGCCACACUGGGACUGAGACACGGCCCAGACUCCUACGGGAGGGCAGCAGUGGGGGAAGUUUUAGGUACGAAAUGGGGGGCGAACCCUCGAUCCAGCCA